CCAGUGUAGGGGAAUGGAAUUGGCCACCCCAAAGUGUGCCUCUUUGGCAUGAGGAAUAUUUUGGGUUGGUUACUUUUAAAAACUGCAGACGUGGGAAAAGUUCUGAAGAGUAGACGUUACCCUAUGUAAGAG
Ceratotherium simum simum (southern white rhinoceros) is the source of this 132-nucleotide non-coding RNA. Lineage: Eukaryota; Metazoa; Chordata; Mammalia; Perissodactyla; Rhinocerotidae. The record is from RefSeq and is a predicted model, not a curated record.